GGGGAAUAUUGGACAAUGGGGGCAACCCUGAUCCAGCAAUACCGCGUGUGUGAAGAAGGCCUUCGGGUUGUAAAGCACUUUAGUGGGGGAGGAAAAGAGCGCUGCGAAGAGCGGAGUUAAUUGACGUUACCCCAAGAAUAAGCACCGGCUAACUCUGUGCCAGCAGCCGCGGUAAUACAGAGGGUGCAAGCGUUAAUCGGAGUGACUGGGCGUAAAGGGCGCGUAGGUGGUUUAUUAAGUUAGGUGUGAAAGACCUGGGCUUAACCUGGGAAGAGCACUUAAUACUGAUAGGCUGGAGUGAGGAAGAGGGGAGUGGAAUUUCCGGUGUAGCGGCGAAAUGCGUAGAUAUCGGAAGGAACACCAAUGGCGAAGGCAACUCUCUGGUCCUUAACUGACACUGAGGCGCGAGAGCGUGGGUAGCAAAC
This 425-nucleotide ribosomal RNA is filed under the name uncultured bacterium. RNAcentral's name for it is "bacterial SSU rRNA". It matches the Rfam family "Bacterial small subunit ribosomal RNA", at positions 356 to 773 of the family's 1533-position model. The record is from RNAcentral.